AUUGAACGCUGGCGGCAGGCCUAACACAUGCAAGUCGAACGAGUAGCGGACGGGGGAGUAAUGUAUGGAAACCUGCCUGCUGGAGCGGGAUAACUACUGUACGAGGUAGCUAAUACCGCCUACCAUCAGAUGUGCCCGGAUGGGUUUCGCUUGUUGGUGGGGUAACGGCUCACCAAGGCGACGAUCCCUAGCUGGUCUGAGAGGAGGACCAGGAACACUGGAACUGAGAUACGGUCCAGACUCCUACGGGAGGCAGCAGUGGGGAAUAUUGCACAAUGGGCGCAAGGCUGAUGCAGCCAUGCCGCGUAGAUGAAGAAGGCCUGCGGCUUGGAAAGUACUUUCAGCGGUGAGGCGGUAUCAGAAGAAGAAGCACCGGCUAACUCCGUGCCAGCAGCCGCGGUAAUUC
This 406-nucleotide ribosomal RNA is filed under the name uncultured bacterium. Its description in RNAcentral is "partial 16S ribosomal RNA". It matches the Rfam family "Bacterial small subunit ribosomal RNA", at positions 30 to 526 of the family's 1533-position model. The record is from RNAcentral.